This 250-nucleotide ribosomal RNA is filed under the name uncultured bacterium. RNAcentral describes it as "partial 16S ribosomal RNA". It matches the Rfam family "Bacterial small subunit ribosomal RNA", at positions 524 to 773 of the family's 1533-position model. The record is from RNAcentral.
UACGGAGGGUGCAAGCAUUGAUCGGAAUUACUGGGCGUAAAGGGCGCGUAGGCGGCGCGAUAAGUCAGAUGUGAAAUACCACGGCUCAACCGUGGUGCUGCAUUUGAAACUGUCGAGCUAGAGGAUAGUUAGGGAAAACGGAAUUCCACGUGUAGCGGUGAAAUGCGUAGAUAUGUGGAAGAACACCGGUGGUGAAGACGGUUUUCUAGGCUAUACCUGACGCUGAGGCGCGAAAGCUAGGGGAGCAAAC